This 520-nucleotide unclassified non-coding RNA is filed under the name Lodderomyces parapsilosis. Its description in RNAcentral is "Candida parapsilosis sequence contains 18S rRNA gene, ITS1, 5.8S rRNA gene, ITS2, 28S rRNA gene". The stretch from base 194 to 347 matches the Rfam family "5.8S ribosomal RNA". Lineage: Eukaryota; Fungi; Ascomycota; Pichiomycetes; Serinales; Debaryomycetaceae. RNAcentral also lists the same sequence under 1 other name. The record is from RNAcentral.
UCGUAACAAGGUUUCCGUAGGUGAACCUGCGGAAGGAUCAUUACAGAAUGAAAAGUGCUUAACUGCAUUUUUUCUUACACAUGUGUUUUUCUUUUUUUGAAAACUUUGCUUUGGUAGGCCUUCUAUAUGGGGCCUGCCAGAGAUUAAACUCAACCAAAUUUUAUUUAAUGUCAACCGAUUAUUUAAUAGUCAAAACUUUCAACAACGGAUCUCUUGGUUCUCGCAUCGAUGAAGAACGCAGCGAAAUGCGAUAAGUAAUAUGAAUUGCAGAUAUUCGUGAAUCAUCGAAUCUUUGAACGCACAUUGCGCCCUUUGGUAUUCCAAAGGGCAUGCCUGUUUGAGCGUCAUUUCUCCCUCAAACCCUCGGGUUUGGUGUUGAGCGAUACGCUGGGUUUGCUUGAAAGAAAGGCGGAGUAUAAACUAAUGGAUAGGUUUUUUCCACUCAUUGGUACAAACUCCAAAACUUCUUCCAAAUUCGACCUCAAAUCAGGUAGGACUACCCGCUGAACUUAAGCAUAUC